UACGUAGGCAGCAAGCGUUGUUCGGAGUUACUGGGCGUAAAGGGUGUGUAGGCGGUUGUUUAAGUUUGGGGUGAAAUCUCCCGGCUCAACCGGGAGGGUGCGCCGAAUACUGAGUGACUAGAGUGCGGGAGAGGAAAGUGGAAUUCCUGGUGUAGCGGUGAAAUGCGUAGAUAUCAGGAGGAACACCGGUGGUGUAGACGGCUUUCUGGACCGUAACUGACGCUGAGACACGAAAGCGUGGGUAGCAAACAGG
This 253-nucleotide ribosomal RNA is filed under the name uncultured bacterium. Its description in RNAcentral is "partial 16S ribosomal RNA". It matches the Rfam family "Bacterial small subunit ribosomal RNA", at positions 524 to 776 of the family's 1533-position model. The record is from RNAcentral.